GCAAGUCGAACGGUAGCACAGAAGAGCUUGCUCUCGGGUGACGAGUGGCGGACGGGUGAGUAAUGUCUGGGAAACUGCCUGAUGGAGGGGGAUAACUACUGGAAACGGUAGCUAAUACCGCAUAACGUCGCAAGACCAAAGAGGGGGACCUUCGGGCCUCUUGCCAUCAGAUGUGCCCAGAUGGGAUUAGCUAGUAGGUGGGGUAACGGCUCACCUAGGCGACGAUCCCUAGCUGGUCUGAGAGGAUGACCAGCCACACUGGAACUGAGACACGGUCCAGACUCCUACGGGAGGCAGCAGUGGGGAAUAUUGCACAAUGGGCGCAAGCCUGAUGCAGCCAUGCCGCGUGUAUGAAGAAGGCCUUCGGGUUGUAAAGUACUUUCAGCGGGGAGGAAGGUGU
Molecule: ribosomal RNA, 400 nt
Filed under: Enterobacter cloacae subsp. dissolvens
Lineage: Bacteria; Pseudomonadati; Pseudomonadota; Gammaproteobacteria; Enterobacterales; Enterobacteriaceae
Description: bacterial SSU rRNA
Rfam family: Bacterial small subunit ribosomal RNA
Source: RNAcentral